RNAcentral lists this long non-coding RNA (520 nucleotides) under Ananas comosus (pineapple). RNAcentral describes it as "long non-coding RNA (ACOM_LNC025068)". The record is from RNAcentral. Lineage: Eukaryota; Viridiplantae; Streptophyta; Magnoliopsida; Poales; Bromeliaceae.
CCGAGCUCGAGCGAGCUUAUGUCUGCUCAAAUUCAGCUUGAAAUUAAUUUCGAGCCUAAAUCUAGGCUCAAGCUCGGCUUGAAAUUAAUUCGAGCCGAGCUCGAGCGAGCCUAAUUUCGAGUCGAGCUGAGCUCGAGCUCUAAACGAGCCGAUUGAAAUUCUCGACAUUAUAUAAUCAAUAUUUUAAUUUUUAUAGAACAUUACCUACAAUUUGAUGCAACAUGUCCAAUAGUUCAAAAUACAAAAUAAUUAUAAGAAAUGUGAGCUAGGGUGACUUCCUGACUCGAUAAGGGUCUGAGAGAGAGAGAGAGAGAGAGAGAGGAAAAAAAGUAGGGAUUUGAAAAUUUGAAUGUUAUUAUGUUUUAGGGUUAUGUGCAACAGUGAAAGUCUGAAAGAGAGAGUGUGUUAUGUAAAUUUAGAGUUGGGCUCAAUUGCACGUUUGUACUUGUUGGGUUUAUUUUAUGGGCCAACAAUAAUGGCCCAAAUUAAAUUAAAGCCUAUAUAUAAUUUAAAAUACAUU